GCCCGCCUAGCUCAAUCGGAUAGAGCGUCAGACUCUUACCUAGGCAGUGGCAUCUGAAGGCUGCGAGUUCGACCCUCGCGGUGGGCU
RNAcentral lists this transfer RNA (87 nucleotides) under Lyophyllum atratum. RNAcentral describes it as "tRNA-Lys". It matches the Rfam family "tRNA". Rfam says of the family: Transfer RNA (tRNA) molecules are approximately 80 nucleotides in length. Lineage: Eukaryota; Fungi; Basidiomycota; Agaricomycetes; Agaricales; Lyophyllaceae. RNAcentral also lists the same sequence under 2 other names. The record is from RNAcentral.